This 1399-nucleotide long non-coding RNA is filed under the name Rattus norvegicus (Norway rat). Its description in RNAcentral is "uncharacterized LOC100910558". The record is from RNAcentral. Lineage: Eukaryota; Metazoa; Chordata; Mammalia; Rodentia; Muridae.
AGAGCACUCGUUUUCAACCAGAGCCCAGAAACAGCCGUUGUCCCCUGGCAAAAGAGGCCCAGUGCUGAGCCCUGGGCAAGUGUCUCCAGACAUCCCUACCUUUCUCUCCCUUUAUUAAGUCUUCUUUCCCAACAGAACCCAUUUCCUUUGCCACUAAAACUAGGUUGCAUCCAAAAGUUUCUCACAAGCUUAAAAAAGAAAAAUUGACACCAUUAUGCAGAAGAAUUCACAAAAGCUGCAGAGCGCCAGGGCAGAGAAGCAGCGUCAGACACAGAGCCCUCUUUUUCUUUGCAGGCCCAGGACACACAGGACGGAUGUUUCCAAGUCACUCCAGGGACAGCAUGAGGCUCUCGCUGGCCUGUGUCUCAGAAGCUGCUUUCUCCACCUCUUCCUUGUGAAUUUCCUAAACUCUCUACCUCUGGUUCAUGUUCGCUCUUCUGGAUAGUCUGUGUGCAAUGAGCCCUUAAAGGAAUAUUGCAAUGAGCUAUAAGAGUUGUGAGCCUGCGGUAGGCAAGGCCUGCACUGGGACAGCAAAGGAAAUUUCAUUGCAUCUGCUCCUAAGUCACAGGUUAUCCAGAGCCCACUUUACCCCAAGAGACAGCCUCUCCCCCAUCCCUAGGAAACAGUAGAGCUUAGGAAAAUGAAUGACUCCACCACAUUCAAGAGGCUUCAAAUUGUAUACUUGGCAUUUCUGAUUUCAGUUCUGAAAUUCUGUCCCUUAGUCGUGGGGAAAAUAAGAAAUGGAGUUACACCUUGUCAUUUAAAAAACCAUUGAAUUAAGAGAAAUGGAAAAUCAUGCCCACAUAAAACAUGUAUGGAAGUGUUCAUGUUUUGAUCAUGGCGGGGGAUAUAGCUCAGUCAUGGAGUGCUUGCAUAGCAAUGUGCAUAAUCCGAGGUUCAAGCCCCAGCACCGAAAAAGAGAAGCGGGAGGAGUGGAGGCAUUCACAGCAGCGUUUUCAGUAUAGGCGCAAAGGGGAAGGAGUUUAAACACCUACUGAGGAAUGGAUAAGCGGAGUGCCUUGUCUAUACUCGGGAUGCUAGUCAUCAGUAGAAAAGUUUGAAAUGAUAGAUACGAUGGAUGAUCCCUUAAACAUCUCCCUAAGUAACGAGGUCAGCCUAGGAAGGCGUAUGUUCCAUAUUUCUGGGAUAUAUGGGCUCACCGAUGCAGAAAAAAGUACAGCCUGGUAUCCUGGAUUGGAGACACGGACUGGACUUUGGAAGACAACAGAAUGGAACAGAAUUUACUUGAGUGGCGAUGUUCUUGAAUGAACGGAAGUCAUGCUUGCCCACUUGAUGACUGCAUUUACAAACCACUGAAUUUUACUUUUAGUGGGUGAAUUGCAUGGUACCUUCAUUUUAAUCUCAAUAAAGCUGCGAGUAUUUUUAAGAGAUUUCUAAA